CGUCGUCGUCGUCCGAGGGGUCUGUGGACCAGCACGGCUCCUCGUGGGGACCGCGAGCGACCGCCGCGGACCCGCCCGUCUCCCACGAGCUUGUUUGGAUUAACGUCCUAUAAGGUUGUCACUAACCGGUGAUGAUGCGCCGCGUACUGUCUGACUCGCUCUCCCUUCAGCUCGUGCAGCUGGUCGAGCAGCACACGUUUGAUCCGCUCCACCCACGAGCGCUUCACGUCCGUCGUGGGCGCCGUGAUCGUGUGCACCUCGGACCGUCCCUGACGCCACACUUCAAACUUACGAGGAUCUCCCUUCACAGACUCGGUCAGACCAAUUUGUGACAUCUGGAACGCGUUAUAUCGUACACCGGUGAUUGCUAUCUGAUGCAUGGAAUCGUUCACACACUUCAAGACCACUAGCAUACAGUCUAGCGCCUGCUGCAGCCCCGCACUCAUGGAGCCGCACUCGCUGUACCGGAGGAGGUCCUGGGGACGGAUUGGAAUUACAAGAGAAAAAUACACCAAAACUUUGUUCUUUUAUACCUAUAUUUAUUAAAGUCAUAUUUAUCGA
Danaus plexippus (monarch butterfly) is the source of this 561-nucleotide long non-coding RNA. RefSeq lists it as uncharacterized. The transcript is spliced from 3 exons. Lineage: Eukaryota; Metazoa; Arthropoda; Insecta; Lepidoptera; Nymphalidae. The record is from RefSeq and is a predicted model, not a curated record.